ACCUCAGAGCAGGCGAG
RNAcentral lists this ribosomal RNA (17 nucleotides) under Dasymutilla occidentalis. Its description in RNAcentral is "partial 28S ribosomal RNA". RNAcentral also lists the same sequence under 7 other names. Lineage: Eukaryota; Metazoa; Arthropoda; Insecta; Hymenoptera; Mutillidae. The record is from RNAcentral.